ACGCUAGCUACAGGCUUAACACAUGCAAGUCGAGGGGCAGCAUGGUCUUAGCUUGCUAAGGCCGAUGGCGACCGGCGCACGGGUGAGUAACACGUAUCCAACCUGCCGUCUACUCUUGGACAGCCUUCUGAAAGGAAGAUUAAUACAAGAUGGCAUCAUGAGUCCGCAUGUUCACAUGAUUAAAGGUAUUCCGGUAGACGAUGGGGAUGCGUUCCAUUAGAUAGUAGGCGGGGUAACGGCCCACCUAGUCUUCGAUGGAUAGGGGUUCUGAGAGGAAGGUCCCCCACAUUGGAACUGAGACACGGUCCAAACUCCUACGGGAGGCAGCAGUGAGGAAUAUUGGUCAAUGGGCGAGAGCCUGAACCAGCCAAGUAGCGUGAAGGAUGACUGCCCUAUGGGUUGUAAACUUCUUUUAUAAAGGAAUAAAGUCGGGUAUGGAUACCCGUUUGCAUGUACUUUAUGAAUAAGGAUCGGCUAACUCCGUGCCAGCAGCCGCGGUAAUACGGAGGAUCCGAGCGUUAUCCGGAUUUAUUGGGUUUAAAGGGAGCGUAGAUGGAUGUUUAAGUCAGUUGUGAAAGUUUGCGGCUCAACCGUAAAAUUGCAGUUGAUACUGGAUAUCUUGAGUGCAGUUGAGGCAGGCGGAAUUCGUGGUGUAGCGGUGAAAUGCUUAGAUAUCACGAAGAACUCCGAUUGCGAAGGCAGCCUGCUAAGCUGCAACUGACAUUGAGGCUCGAAAGUGUGGGUAUCAAACAGGAUUAGAUACCCUGGUAGUCCACACGGUAAACGAUGAAUACUCGCUGUUUGCGAUAUACUGCAAGCGGCCAAGCGAAAGCGUUAAGUAUUCCACCUGGGGAGUACGCCGGCAACGGUGAAACUCAAAGGAAUUGACGGGGGCCCGCACAAGCGGAGGAACAUGUGGUUUAAUUCGAUGAUACGCGAGGAACCUUACCCGGGCUUAAAUUGCAGAUGAAUUACGGUGAAAGCCGUAAGCCGCAAGGCAUCUGUGAAGGUGCUGCAUGGUUGUCGUCAGCUCGUGCCGUGAGGUGUCGGCUUAAGUGCCAUAACGAGCGCAACCCUUGUUGUCAGUUACUAACAGGUUCCGCUGAGGACUCUGACAAGACUGCCAUCGUAAGAUGUGAGGAAGGUGGGGAUGACGUCAAAUCAGCACGGCCCUUACGUCCGGGGCUACACACGUGUUACAAUGGGGGGUACAGAGGGCCGCUACCACGCGAGUGGAUGCCAAUCCCCAAAACCUCUCUCAGUUCGGACUGGAGUCUGCAACCCGACUCCACGAAGCUGGAUUCGCUAGUAAUCGCGCAUCAGCCACGGCGCGGUGAAUACGUUCCCGGGCCUUGUACACACCGCCCGUCAAGCCAUGGGAGCCGGGGGUACCUGAAGUGCGUAACCGCGAGGAGCGCCCUAGGGUAAAACUGGUGACUGGGGCUAAG
This 1448-nucleotide ribosomal RNA is filed under the name uncultured organism. RNAcentral's name for it is "SSU rRNA". It matches the Rfam family "Bacterial small subunit ribosomal RNA". The record is from RNAcentral.